UAAUAAGUGUUUUAUGGCACUUUUUAAAUCCAUAUCCACCUUGUGUGCAAUGUCAGUCGAUCUUCUUUAUUGGAGAUCGACCAAACAUCAACCUUUAUCUUUUAACUCUUUGUCUGAAAAAUAUUAUGAAUAAACAAUUCAAAAUA
Molecule: unclassified non-coding RNA, 146 nt
Filed under: soil metagenome
Description: partial internal transcribed spacer 1
Source: RNAcentral